Molecule: ribosomal RNA, 497 nt
Filed under: uncultured bacterium
Lineage: Bacteria
Description: partial 16S ribosomal RNA
Rfam family: Bacterial small subunit ribosomal RNA
Source: RNAcentral
GAUGAACGCUGGCGGCGUGCCUAAUACAUGCAAGUCGAGCGAACGGACGAGAAGCUUGCUUCUCUGAUGUUAGCGGCGGACGGGUGAGUAACACGUGGAUAACCUACCUAUAAGACUGGGAUAACUUCGGGAAACCGGAGCUAAUACCGGAUGAUAUUUUGAACCGCAUGGUUCAAAAGUGAAAGACGGUCUUGCUGUCACUUAUAGAUGGAUCCGCGCUGCAUUAGCUAGUUGGUAAGGUAACGGCUUACCAAGGCAACGAUGCAUAGCCGACCUGAGAGGGUGCUCGGCCACACUGGAACUGAGACACGGUCCAGACUCCUACGGGAGGCAGCAGUAGGGAAUCUUCCGCAAUGGGCGAAAGCCUUACGGAACAACGCCGCGUGAGUGAUGAAGGUCUUCGGAUCGUAAAACUCUGUUAUUAGGGAAGAACAUAUGUGUAAGUAACUGUGCACAUCUUGACGGUACCUAAUCAGAAAGCCACGGCUAACUACGUG